This 433-nucleotide ribosomal RNA is filed under the name uncultured bacterium. RNAcentral's name for it is "partial 16S ribosomal RNA". It matches the Rfam family "Bacterial small subunit ribosomal RNA", at positions 29 to 507 of the family's 1533-position model. The record is from RNAcentral.
AACGAACGCUGGCGGCAGGCUUAACACAUGCAAGUCGAACGCACCUUUCGGGGUGAGUGGCAGACGGGUGAGUAACGCGUGGGAAUCUACCCUUCUCUACGGGAUAGCUCCGGGAAACUGGAAUUAAUACCGUAUACGUCCUGAGGGAGAAAGAUUUAUCGGGGAAGGAUGAGCCCGCGUUGGAUUAGCUAGUUGGUGGGGUAAAGGCCUACCAAGGCGACGAUCCAUAGCUGGUCUAAGAGGAUGAUCAGCCACAUUGCGACUGAGACACGGCCCAAACUCCUACGGGAGGCAGCAGUGGGGAAUAUUGGACAAUGGGCGCAAGCCUGAUCCAGCCAUGCCGCGUGAGUGAUGAAGGCCCUAGGGUUGUAAAGCUCUUUCAGUGGGGACGAUAAUGACGGUACCCACAGAAGAAGCCCCGGCUAACUUCGUG